AUGUACAACGUGUGCAUUCCGGUUCCUGUGCUCCGGCCUCGCCGUUCUGACGGGUGCUCGCUACUUUUUAAAA
Molecule: small RNA, 73 nt
Filed under: Deefgea chitinilytica
Lineage: Bacteria; Pseudomonadati; Pseudomonadota; Betaproteobacteria; Neisseriales; Chitinibacteraceae
Also listed under: 1 other name
Description: sX9 sRNA
Rfam family: Xanthomonas sRNA sX9
Source: RNAcentral